GGGGGCGUAAAGGUUUCGACGGGGAUUUUGAGAUACGGUAAGCGGGUAGAGUUUGGGGACACUCUGAAAUCAUCCCUACUUUAAAAUUAAACGCUAACGAUAAUUUAGCUCUGGCUGCCUGAUUUCAGGCAGUGCUGCGGACUUUUGUUCCGCCCGUCCUGUCUUUGAGGAUUACGGCUUAGAUUUGGGCGUCAAACAGUAAUGAACGUGCACCUCCGGUAUGCUGUUGAAGAGGUCAUGAAGAAAACAGCUGCCUGAUUUCUGCGCCUGUCUGCCGGCUCGGGAAUUCAGAAAGAUUUGUAGACAGUCUGCACCCGGAGAAAGCUGUAUUAAGAGAUUUUCGGACGAGGGUUCGAUUCCCUCCGUCUCCACCA
This 374-nucleotide transfer-messenger RNA is filed under the name Eubacteriales. Its description in RNAcentral is "RGIG3925 sp017942005 Standard tmRNA". It matches the Rfam family "transfer-messenger RNA". From Rfam's summary of the family: Bacterial tmRNA, also known as 10Sa RNA or SsrA, is named for its dual tRNA and mRNA-like properties. Lineage: Bacteria; Bacillati; Bacillota; Clostridia. RNAcentral also lists the same sequence under 1 other name. The record is from RNAcentral.